UUCCGGUUGAUCCUGCCGGAGGUCAUUGCUAUUGGAGUCCGAUUUAGCCAUGCUAGUCGUACGAACUUAGAUUCGUGGCGAAUAGCUCAGUAACACGUGGUCAAACUACCCUGUCGAGCGCGAUAACCUCGGGAAACUGAGGCUAAUAGCGCAUACGGCUCGAUGCCUGGAACUGGCUCGAGCCCGAAACGCUCCGGCGCGACAGGAUGUGGCUGCGGCCGAUUAGGUAGACGGUGGGGUAACGGCCCACCGUGCCGAUAAUCGGUACGGGUUGUGAGAGCAAGAGCCCGGAGACGGAAUCUGAGACAAGAUUCCGGGCCCUACGGGGCGCAGCAGGCGCGAAACCUUUACACUGCACGACAGUGCGAUAGGGGGACUCCGAGUGCGAGGGCAUAUAGUCCUCGCUUUUCACUACCGUAAGGUGGUAGUAGAAUAAGUGCUGGGCAAGACCGGUGCCAGCCGCCGCGGUAAUACCGGCAGCACGAGUGAUGACCGCUAUUAUUGGGCCUAAAGCGUCCGUAGCCGGCCGAACAAGUCCGUCGGGAAAUCCGCACGCCUAACGUGCGGGCGUCCGGCGGAAACUGUUCGGCUUGGGACCGGAAGGCUCGAGGGGUACGUCCGGGGUAGGAGUGAAAUCCCGUAGUCCUGGACGGACCACCGGUGGCGAAAGCGCCUCGAGAGGACGGAUCCGACGGUGAGGGACGAAAGCUAGGGUCACGAACCGGAUUAGAUACCCGGGUAGUCCGAGCUGUAAACGAUGUCUGCUAGGUGUGGCACAGGCUACGAGCCUGUGCUGUGCCGUAGGAAAGCCGUGAAGCAGACCGCCUGGGAAGUACGUCCGCAAGGAUGAAACUUAAAGGAAUUGGCGGGGGAGCAC
RNAcentral lists this ribosomal RNA (877 nucleotides) under uncultured archaeon. Its description in RNAcentral is "bacterial SSU rRNA". It matches the Rfam family "Archaeal small subunit ribosomal RNA", at positions 1 to 879 of the family's 1478-position model. The record is from RNAcentral.